ACCAUGCGGAGGGUCAUUACCCAAAUAUGAAGGCAGGUCUGGCACCUCCCGGGGUUCCAGGCUUGUUGAAUUCUUCACCCUUGUCUUUUGCGUACUUCUUGUUUCCUUGGGGGGUUCACCCCCCACUAAGACAAAAUAAACCUUUUGUAAUUGCAAUCAGCGUCCUUAACAAAUUAAAACUUACAACUUUCAACAACGGAUCUCUUGGUUCUGGCUGCGAUGAAGAACGCGACGAGAUGCGAUCAGUGAUGUGAAUUGCCUAAUUCAGCGCAUCAUCCCAUCUGUGAACGCACGUUGCGCCCUUUGGCAUUCCAAAGGGGAUGCCUGUUCGACCGUCAUUUGUACCCUCUAGCUUUGCUUGGCGUUGGGCGUAUUGUCUCUAGCUUUGCUGGAAACUCGCCUUAUAAUAUUUGACCGCCGGCCUACUGGUUUCUGAGCGCCGCACAAGUCACACUCUCUAUCAGCAAAGGUCUAGCAUCCAUUAAGACUUUUUUUCAACUUUUGACCUCGUAUCACGUAUGGAUACCCGCAGAACUAAAAAAUAUCAAUAAUCGGAGGAAAAGAAACCAACGGGGAUUGACCUAUUAACGUUAAAUGAAGCGGCAACAGCUCAAAUUUAAACUCUGGCUCUUUUACAGUCCGAGUUGUAGUUUGCAGAGGGCGCUUUGGCUUUGGACCGGUCCAAGUUCCUUGGAACAGGACGUCACCGAUGGUGAGAAUCGCGUACGCGCCCUCUGGCUAUUCGCCGUGAAAGCCCUGCCGACCCAUCGAGGAGUUUAAUAUGUCUCACUAAAUGUCAGGGACAUAUCUUCAAACCUAAAUAUUGGACUGAUACCGAUAGCGCACCACUUUAGUGAUAGAGUGAUGAACGCUUUUAGUAAUUAGAGAGAAACCGCAUGCAACCUGUUGAGUGGAGUAGCUUGCCCCGUACUUGCUUACUGUUGUCCUCCGGGUUUCGACCCGGUGCACUCGUCUGAUGCAGACAGCAUCAGCUAGGGAAGUACGAUAAGGUCUCUGUCACGUCCAUCCUACCGGGACGCCUCAGAGGGAGACACGUACUACCGAUCGAAACUGACGUCUGCUCUGCAGAUGUCGUGAAAAAGCCAGCAUGGCGCUUUAAAACCCGGU
This 1128-nucleotide ribosomal RNA is filed under the name uncultured Alternaria. RNAcentral describes it as "eukaryotic LSU rRNA". The stretch from base 503 to 1128 matches the Rfam family "Eukaryotic large subunit ribosomal RNA", at positions 1 to 634 of the family's 3401-position model. The record is from RNAcentral. Lineage: Eukaryota; Fungi; Ascomycota; Dothideomycetes; Pleosporales; Pleosporaceae.